This 1031-nucleotide unclassified non-coding RNA is filed under the name Espeletia pleiochasia. RNAcentral describes it as "Espeletiopsis pleiochasia partial external transcribed spacer". The record is from RNAcentral. Lineage: Eukaryota; Viridiplantae; Streptophyta; Magnoliopsida; Asterales; Asteraceae.
CAGGCCUCCCUCUGCUUGGUUCCGUCGUGGGCAUGAGUGAGGGGCGAUGCUUGAUGGCUUUGAUGCCAUCGGUGGGAAUGUGUUUAAGCAUCGGCCUUCCCUCAUGACCACGAUGGUCUACAGUCUUGUGUACGAGUUAGUGACGUCGCUUGUUUGUUUUGAUGCUUGCGUUGGAACUUGCUUAAGCAACCGACCUGACGAAGUACCCAUGAAUGUCACCCAUGAUGGUCUACAGUCUUGCGUACGAGUUAGUGACGUCGCUUGUUUGUUUUGAUGCUUGCGUUGGAACUUGCUUAAGCAACCGACCUGACGAAGUACCCAUGAAUGUCACCUAUGAUGGUCUACAGUCUUGCGUACGAAUUAGUGACGUCGCUUGUUUGUUUUGAUGCUUGCGUUGGAACUUGCUUAAGCAACCGACCUGACGAAGUACCCAUGAAUGUCGUUCAUGAUGGUCUACAGUCUUGCGUAUGAGUCAGUGACGACGCUUGUCAACCUAGUAGGGACGUGUCCCUGCGCCCAACGACUUUUGUCGGGAUCGUGGCAAGUCUGCGAUCCAGGGGGUGAUGUUGAGAGCCAGAAGGCAAGGGGGUGCAAACACUAGUCUGCCUUUGUCCCGAUUGCCGAGUGUUAUGUGCUUGAUGUCCAAGGCUUGAUGCUGAUCCUCCAAGUGGGGCUUGUCCCUGCACCAAUGGCUUUUGCCAGGAUCAUGGCGUUUGUGUGAUCGAAAAAAUGAGGGGGUGAUGUUGAGAGCCGGAAGGCAAGGGGGUGCAAACACCAGUCGGCCUUUGUCCCGAUUGCUGAGUGUUAUGUGCUUGAUGUCCAAGGCUUGAAGCUGACCCUCCAAGUGGGGGCUUUUUUGUUCCUGCGGUAACGACUCUGUUGGGAUCAUUGUGAUCAAGUUUGGUUGGUUUCGUAUUGUGGUGGGUUUUUUCGAAGCUUCUAUCGUUCUUUUACGCAUCGUGCGGUGCAUCUUGGGGGCUGUUUUGGCUUUUGGUUGCUUGCUUGGGCUUUAUGCUAGGCGGGUGGCUAAU